AUUGAACGCUGGCGGCAUGCCUAACACAUGCAAGUCGAACGGCAGCACGGGAGCUUGCUCCUGGUGGCGAGUGGCGGACGGGUGAGUAAUGCAUAGGAAUCUGCCCAGUAGCGGGGGACAACUUGGGGAAACUCAAGCUAAUACCGCAUGCGCCCUACGGGGGAAAGCGGGGGACCUUCGGGCCUCGCACUAUUGGAUGAGCCUAUGUCAGAUUAGCUUGUUGGUGGGGUAACGGCCUACCAAGGCGACGAUCUGUAGCUGGUCUGAGAGGACGAUCAGCCACACUGGGACUGAGACACGGCCCAGACUCCUACGGGAGGCAGCAGUGGGGAAUAUUGCACAAUGGGCGAAAGCCUGAUGCAGCAAUGCCGCGUGUGUGAAGAAGGCCUGCGGGUUGUAAAGCACUUUCAGUAGGGAGGAAACAGUAGCCGGUUAAUAUCCGGUUGCCUUGACGUUACCUACAGAAG
RNAcentral lists this ribosomal RNA (467 nucleotides) under uncultured bacterium. RNAcentral's name for it is "bacterial SSU rRNA". It matches the Rfam family "Bacterial small subunit ribosomal RNA", at positions 30 to 487 of the family's 1533-position model. The record is from RNAcentral.